AUGCAAGUCGAACGGUAACAUUUCUAGCUUGCUAGAAGAUGACGAGUGGCGGACGGGUGAGUAAUGCUUGGGAACUUGCCUUUGCGAGGGGGAUAACAGUUGGAAACGACUGCUAAUACCGCAUAAUGUCUUCGGACCAAACGGGGCUUAGGCUCCGGCGCAAAGAGAGGCCCAAGUGAGAUUAGCUAGUUGGUAAGGUAACGGCUUACCAAGGCGACGAUCUCUAGCUGUUCUGAGAGGAAGAUCAGCCACACUGGGACUGAGACACGGCCCAGACUCCUACGGGAGGCAGCAGUGGGGAAUAUUGCACAAUGGGGGGAACCCUGAUGCAGCCAUGCCGCGUGUGUGAAGAAGGCCUUCGGGUUGUAAAGCACUUUCAGUUGUGAGGAAAAGUUAGUAGUUAAUACCUGCUAGCCGUGACGUUNACAACAGA
RNAcentral lists this ribosomal RNA (433 nucleotides) under uncultured bacterium. Its description in RNAcentral is "bacterial SSU rRNA". It matches the Rfam family "Bacterial small subunit ribosomal RNA", at positions 55 to 485 of the family's 1533-position model. The record is from RNAcentral.